RNAcentral lists this transfer RNA (66 nucleotides) under Upogebia affinis. RNAcentral's name for it is "tRNA-Thr". It matches the Rfam family "tRNA". Rfam says of the family: Transfer RNA (tRNA) molecules are approximately 80 nucleotides in length. Their secondary structure includes four short double-helical elements and three loops (D, anti-codon, and T loops). The record is from RNAcentral. Lineage: Eukaryota; Metazoa; Arthropoda; Malacostraca; Decapoda; Upogebiidae.
GCCCUGAUAGUUUAAUUUAAAACCUUGGUCUUGUAAACCAAUAAUGAAAUUUUCUUUCUCAGGGCU